GACGAACGUUGGCGGCGUGCUUAACACAUGCAAGUCGAACGGAAAGGCCCUGCUUUUGUGGGGUGCUCGAGUGGCGAACGGGUGAGUAACACGUGAGUAACCUGCCCUUGACUUUGGGAUAACUUCAGGAAACUGGGGCUAAUACCGGAUAGGAGCUCCUGCUGCAUGGUGGGGGUUGGAAAGUUUCGGCGGUUGGGGAUGGACUCGCGGCUUAUCAGCUUGUUGGUGGGGUAGUGGCUUACCAAGGCUUUGACGGGUAGCCGGCCUGAGGGGGUGACCGGCCACAUUGGGACUGAGAUACGGCCCAGACUCCUACGGGAGGCAGCAGUGGGGAAUAUUGCACAAUGGGCGGAAGCCUGAUGCAGCAACGCCGCGUGCGGGAUGACGGCCUUCGGGUUGUAAACCGCUUUCGCCUGUGACGAAGCGUGAGUGACGGUAAUGGGUAAAGAAGCACCGGCUAACUACGUGCCAGCAGCCGCGGUGAUACGUAGGGUGCGAGCGUUGUCCGGAUUUAUUGGGCGUAAAGGGCUCGUAGGUGGUUGAUCGCGUCGGAAGUGUAAUCUUGGGGCUUAACCCUGAGCGUGCUUUCGAUACGGGUUGACUUGAGGAAGGUAGGGGAGAAUGGAAUUCCUGGUGGAGCGGUGGAAUGCGCAGAUAUCAGGAGGAACACCAGUGGCGAAGGCGGUUCUCUGGGCCUUUCCUGACGCUGAGGAGCGAAAGCGUGGGGAGCGAACAGGCUUAGAUACCCUGGUAGUCCACGCUGUAAACGGGGGGUACUAGGUGUGGGGUCCAUUCCACGGGUUCCGUGCCGUAGCUAACGCUUUAAGUACCCCGCCUGGGGAGUACGGCCGCAAGGCUAAAACUCAAAGGAAUUGACGGGGCCCCGCACAAGCGGCGGAGCAUGCGGAUUAAUUCGAUGCAACGCGUAGAACCUUACCUGGGUUUGACAUGGAUCGGGAGUGCUCAGAGAUGGGUGUGCCUCUUUUGGGGUCGGUUCACAGGUGGUGCAUGCCUGUCGUCAGCUCGUGUCGUGAGAUGUUGGGUUAAGUCCCGCAACGGGCGCAACCCUUGUUCACUGUUGCCAGCACGUUAUGGUGGGGACUCAGUGGAGACCGCCGGGGUCAACUCGGAGGAAGGUGGGGAUGACGUCAAGUCCUCAUGCCCCUUAUGUCCAGGGCUUCACGCAUGCUACAAUGGCUGGUACAGAGAGUGGCGAGCCUGUGAGGGUGAGCGAAUCUCGGAAAGCCGGUCUCAGUUCGGAUUGGGGUCUGCAACUCGACCUCAUGAAGUCGGAGUCGCUAGUAAUCGCAAAUCAGCAACGCUGCGGUGAAUACGUUCCCGGG
Molecule: ribosomal RNA, 1343 nt
Filed under: uncultured bacterium
Lineage: Bacteria
Description: 16S ribosomal RNA
Rfam family: Bacterial small subunit ribosomal RNA
Source: RNAcentral